CGUGCACUGGUGGGGUCCCUUGGCCUGGCCUGCGCCCUCACAAUCUGGGACUCCUUGGGAUGUUGGAGGCCUGGUGCACGGAUUCAGCCCAAUCCCUGCAGGCCAGGCCGAGGGACUCCACCGGUGCACA
Molecule: microRNA precursor, 130 nt
Filed under: Myotis davidii
Lineage: Eukaryota; Metazoa; Chordata; Mammalia; Chiroptera; Vespertilionidae
Description: mir-9193 microRNA precursor family
Rfam family: mir-9193 microRNA precursor family
Source: Rfam by way of RNAcentral